RNAcentral lists this ribosomal RNA (253 nucleotides) under uncultured bacterium. RNAcentral describes it as "partial 16S ribosomal RNA". It matches the Rfam family "Bacterial small subunit ribosomal RNA", at positions 524 to 776 of the family's 1533-position model. The record is from RNAcentral.
UACGUAGGGUGCAAGCGUUGUCCGGAAUUAUUGGGCGUAAAGGGCUCGUAGGCGGUCCAUCACGUCGGGAGUGAAAAGCUGGGGCUUAACCCCAGUCCUGCUUCCGAUACGGGUGGACUAGAGGUAGGCAGGGGAGAACGGAAUUCCUGGUGUAGCGGUGAAAUGCGCAGAUAUCAGGAGGAACACCGGUGGCGAAAGCGGCUCACUGGACCAUUACUGACGCUGAGGCACGAAAGCUAGGGGAGCAAACAGG